CCUACGGGAGGCACCAGUGGGGAAUCUUGGGCAAUGAGCGCAAGCCUGACCCAGCGACGCCGCGUGUGGGAAGAAGGCCCUCGGGUCGUAAACCACUGUCAGGAGGGAAGAAAUGCAGUUCCCCAACAGGGGGCUGUAUUGACGGUACCUCCAGAGGAAGCACCGGCCAACUCCGUGCCAGCGGCCGUGGUAAUACGGAGGGUGCAAGCGUUAUUCGGAAUCACUGGGCGUAAAGCGCGCGUAGGCGGCAGCGCAAGUCAGAUGUGAAAGCCCUCGGCUAAACCGGGGAAUUGCAUCUGAAACUGCGUGGCUAGGGUUCGGGAGAGGGCGGCGGAACUCCCGGUGUAGGGGUGAAAUCCGUAGAUAUCGGGAGGAACACCAGAGGCGAAGGCGGCCGCCUGGACCGAAACUGACGCUGAGACGCGAAAGCGUGGGUAGCAAACAGGAUUAGAUACCCUGGUAGUC
RNAcentral lists this ribosomal RNA (465 nucleotides) under uncultured bacterium. RNAcentral's name for it is "bacterial SSU rRNA". It matches the Rfam family "Bacterial small subunit ribosomal RNA", at positions 338 to 795 of the family's 1533-position model. The record is from RNAcentral.